UUCUGGAGGCUUUUAAUUUUUCUUUUAAUUUGGCACAGUGCUUUAGUCUCUAUGGCCCUGAUAAAUAACGUAUUUAACUCUGCUUCUAAAAUCAUCUCUACUGGUGAAGUUACUUGUGUGUGUAAAACAAUUGCUUUCCUGCCUGGACUGAAUUUGUUAUGGUUACUUUGUAAAAGUAAUCAAUUACUGAUUACUGGUUCAAAAUUAAAUCAUGACUGAUCACUGAAAGAUAGGUAUGUGCUAGUUUUCUGAAACCUCAGCAGUCUAGCUUCUGUUGUGAUUUGGGCCUGUUUUGCAUGUUAAACCCUGUAGGUAUGGUGAAAAUUUCCAAAGUAUACCUAUUUUGAGAUAAAAUUCAUGUUGAAGCUGAAGUAGUCUUGCCUGAAAAAAAUACACAGAUAAUUUUGGAAAUUCCACACUCAUACCUGUGAUUUCCCAUCUGCGUGAAUAUGGAUUUGGUGUUUGCUCCCAUAUUUUAGUGGGUGAUUCCACAUAGUGUUGGAGGCUGCUGAAGUGGACCUGGCAGCUAAAAUCACAGGUAUGUCCCAAACUAGCUGUUAAAGAGCACCUCUAGUAUCUCUAGACUCCCUGCCACUGUUGCCCCUCUCCAAGGAUCUCCUCUGCUUGUCCUUGACAGACAUGAGCUUGGUCCCAGAAGAUCUGGCCUUCUCCUGCUUUAAUUCUUGUAGGAAAGCUCUGCCAGCCCUUUGCUUUUUGACCCUGUUUCCACACUUGCUUCCCUGCCUCCAAAAUCAGCUGUUGUGAGCUUGGCACACCUAAGUGUUUAAAAGAGGAACAGUGCUGUGUCCACGUUGGGUGUCAUUUGUUUUUGUUGCUUGCUCAUGAAUAAUUUUCUAUUUUGUGUUUCAAGUGUCACAACUGCCGUGGUAGUAUUACUUAUGGUAAAGACAGGCAAGGGAGAAAAGGAGAAGAGAAACUGAAAGGUGUCCACUUUGCAUUUUGCAUUGUACUGUAGAAGUUAGCCUGGCUCACACUGAUCGAAAGCAAUCCACUGUUAUUGCUGUAAGAGUCUCACUACCACUCUGUGAGGUAACAAUGACAUCCUGGGUUCUGGUGUCAGUGUGAAUGAAGGCAGGAAGCAGCAGCAAACUAAAACAUCAUCUUGAAUUAAGUGGACAAAUGCAGACGAAAACAGGUUACACUAGAAGAAUCAGUGAUCUAGAAGGUCAGAUGAAUCAGACUCUUAAAAGGAUGUACUUCUUCCCAUUGACUGCUGAGUGUGACCAGCUGAGAUGUAAAUAUCUACAUUGUAGUCCAGUCUGAAGUCAGAUGAGAUGAAUCCAGCCCAAGUCUAUCCUGCUACUGCUGCUGUCUGGACUCUUCCUUCUGUGUUCGGGGUGAGUCACAGAGAACAUCACUUAUCAAGAAUUCCAUCGAGAUGUGGGCAGCGCUGAGACAGCUCCCAGUGAAAUAAAGUCUAACUGAAGUAUAAACGCAGACAUUAGUUUUGGAUAAAUCUGUAAAAGCAAUUAAGUACUUUUCUGGAAUACAUGGCUGAAAUACUGAGAGCUCCCACCCAAAACACAAGGCAUAUGCAAGGCCAGUAAGGAAUCUAAGCUAUGUGGGUGAGCAGGUUUGGCAGAAAUCUGAAUGGAAGUGCAGAAGAGCAAUUCGUAUUUGAGAAGAUAUCUGUGUGUAAGAGACAGAAACAAUUGGAAGCUGUGCAGGAAAUACACGCAAGUAACACUCAGAUGUCAGAAUGAACAUAUACAGCAAAAUGUUGAGAAAGCUGAGACCCUCUGGUCUGGAUAUAGUAUUUGGAAUAAGUCUUGGAGAAAAACUAUGUCCUGCUGUUUGUUUUGUUCAGGGAGAGAGGGUUUUUAUAAAACAACCUUUUUAUAAAACAGAAUGAAAAAAAAAUACUUGUCUUCUGUGAUCACCUCAUGUCAUUUGCUUCUCCUCCCUCUGACAAAAAUAUCAUAGGGGUCCUUAUGCUGAUGAGAUUUAAGGCAGAAACUAUAAUUUGGCUUGAGGAUGUUCUAUCUUAAAAACAAAAACAAAACAAACAAACAAACCACCAUAAAAUAUCUUUCUUCUAUGUAUACUUUUUAUAUACAUAGUGGAAAGUUUCUGAGUAUAAGAAAAUGCAAGACCUAAGUCUGUAGGAAACUUACUACCCCAAAAGUAAGAUUGAAAAUGAAAGCUGUCAGGAGCUGCCAAAGUGUAAUAUUUUGGGGGGUACCAUAAAUCAGUUGAGACUUUAUAGAAUAACAUGAACUUUCCAUAAUACUACUCGGAGUAAUCGUUUUCAAAUAAUAAUAAUACAUCUGAAUCCACUUGGAAUACCAGUAACACUGAGUCACAAACCAAGUGCUACUUUGUAUUAGUGCUACUAACUGGCAAUAUGGAAAAGGCAAUCUAGCUGUUCGCUUUGGCAUAAAACCAGGCAUUUCUUAGGGAUGGUGAUGAAAUAUUCUAGCAUUCUUACAGUUCACUACAAAGUAUAGAAAUCAAGUAGUUUUUCUGAAGAAUUUUAAGGCCAUUCUUCAUCAAAAAGAAUCAUUGUUUGUUUGUUUAGUUUUCAAGUUCUUUAUGUUGGACAUUGUUGACUGAAUUCUUCCAGUGCAAGAUAGGAGCAGGGCAUAGAUUUCAUGCUAGAGCAUAUACAGUCACGUUAAGGAUUUUGAGAUUUUGGUGAAAAAAAAACUGGUAGGAAAACCUAUGAACAUUUUUUAACUUGAGAGGGUAUUUUUUCCUGUGUUUUGUUUGAAUCAAAGUAUGAUCAAACACACUUUACCUGAUGAUUCUGUAUUUUUAAUCUGCUUCAGUCUGAGUACUCGAGUGAAUUUGUUCUAAUAGUCACUAAGGGCAAUACAUAUUUAUUCUUAUGUUCCUUAGGGACGGUGCAAUUUGGGCUAUUUUACUAAUAUGUUACUGAUCACUUCAGAGAAGAUGCUUCCAUCACUGAUAUUGUCGUUUCAAUGAGAGGAUGUCUGAGGAGAAGAUGGUUUUGAACUUUGCUGUAUUUGGAAGCACAUUUGUAACAUUGUUCUUACGUGCUCUGUUCCACAUUGCAUUUGAAAGAACAGAACCGAUUAAGUUAUUCUUAAAAUGCAGAAGAUCGCUGGAAAAUUUGAACAUCUUAGUGUGCAGUGUAGUAUACUGGGACAAUCCAGAUGCCAUCUUCCAUUAAGAAGAAAAGUAUAUCUCAAAACAUGCUCAGUUUAACAACUAAUCUGAGAGGAUCGGAAGUAGACGUAUCUUUUUAAUGUAAUGUUUUCUUCCUUAAUCGUGUUUACAUAUUUAUACUUCAGUUCCAUCCAUGAAAAACAGCUUGGAAGCAUAGCUUAGAAAUUGGAAGUAUUUUGCUAGUUUGCAUUUUCUUACAUCUGUGCAUCAGAAUGGCCAUGUACUUCAGCUGGUAUAAAUCAGCAUGGCUUCAUUGGACUAAACUGAAUUAUAAGGUGAAUGAGAGAGUCUGUCUUUAAGUCAGCAGAAAAUAUUUUGCAUUUGCUUUAUUUUUACCUUCUAUUUAAAUUUUGUAUUUAAUUGUCUUUCUGUUUCUCUUUCACUGCCUAAUGCUGCUCAGUUUUUAAAGAGACACUCUCGCUCAGAAAUGAAUGCGACUAUUUAAGUAAAUAAAGACACAGCUGACGCUGUGUAGAUUCAGUGCUACUAAGCUACAGAGAGAUUUAAGUGAUUUGUGACACUAAGAACAUCCUGCGCCUUAUGUAAUUUUAUCACCAGAAGAAUUAAAUAAGGAGGGGCCUGUGCAUGGUAUCAGUUCUUGUGGGAAAAUAUGCUUCAGUGACUUACUGGCACUGGGUUUGGAAUGUGGCAUUUAAAAGUACCUUUUUACAGUGGGAAAGAAUUUGGUCAAGAAUAAACAGUCUGACCUUGUUAAAUGGACCAAAGUCUGUGUAUAACCCAGAUCCAGAAAGCUAGUUUUUACCAGUUUGUGAGAAAAAAAAUGAAGCAGUUAAUUAAAAAAUGCAACUUGGUUUUCUAGAAACAUAAUAAAGUAGAUGGAAAAGAGCCAAAAGAAUUGUCAUUGAACUGUGGACUUUUCCAGUUUGUGGGAAGUGAGCUGUGAGCUUUAAGCGUAUUUUGAACUGGAGUUCGAGAGGACAUUAAAAGGAAACAGCAUCAUACAUUGUGCCCAGAUGGAUUCAAGUCAAAUACAGGACUAGUGAAUGAUUUUCAAUGCGUAUCAAAUCCACUUAUAUUACCAUCAACAUCAGAAAAUGUAGAAUCCGUGAAUUUGCAGGAAAAUAAUUUAUCAUAUGAGCUGCGUUUUAAACACGAAGCCUGGUGUCUGCAGGCAUAGUCACUUGACUAGCAAAAAUCCUUUUGAUAUCAAUGAAGGCAAAAAAAAAAAA
This is a long non-coding RNA of Phasianus colchicus (ring-necked pheasant), 4340 nucleotides long. RefSeq lists it as uncharacterized. Lineage: Eukaryota; Metazoa; Chordata; Aves; Galliformes; Phasianidae. The record is from RefSeq and is a predicted model, not a curated record.